CCUACGGGAGGCAGCAGCAGGGAAUCUUGCGCAAUGGGCGAAAGCCUGACGCAGCGACACCGCGUGGGGGGAGAAGGCCUCAGGGUUGUAAACCCCUUUUCUGUGGGAAGAGAUAGGACGGUACCACAGGAAUAAGCAUCGGCUAACUACGUGCCAGCAGCCGCGGUAAUACGUAGGAUGCAAGCGUUGUCCGGAUUUACUGGGCGUAAAGGGUGUGUAGGCGGCAUGUUAAGUCUCAUGUGAAAUCUCCCGGCUCAACUGGGAGGGGUCAUGGGAAACUGGCAAGCUGGAGGGCAGCAGAGGAAAGCGGAAUUCCGGGAGUAGUGGUGGAAUGCGUAGAUACCCGGAGGAACACCAGAGGCGAAGGCGGCUUUCUGGGCUGUACCUGACGCUGAGACACGAAAGCGUGGGGAGCGAACCGGAUUAGAUACCCGGGUAGUCCACGCCCUAAACGAUGGAUACUAGAUAUAGGGGGUAUUGACCCCUCCUGUGUCGGAGUUAACGCGAUAAGUAUCCCGCCUGGGGAGUACGGCCGCAAGGCUAAAACUCAAAUGAAUUGACGG
RNAcentral lists this ribosomal RNA (563 nucleotides) under uncultured bacterium. RNAcentral describes it as "bacterial SSU rRNA". It matches the Rfam family "Bacterial small subunit ribosomal RNA", at positions 338 to 916 of the family's 1533-position model. The record is from RNAcentral.